AAUGUUGGGUUAAGUCCCGCAACGAGCGCAACCCUUAUCCUUUGUUGCCAGCGGUCCGGCCGGGAACUCAAAGGAGACUGCCAGUGAUAAACUGGAGGAAGGUGGGGAUGACGUCAAGUCAUCAUGGCCCUUACGACCAGGGCUACACACGUGCUACAAUGGCGCAUACAAAGAGAAGCGACCUCGCGAGAGCAAGCGGACCUCAUAAAGUGCGUCGUAGUCCGGAUUGGAGUCUGCAACUCGACUCCAUGAAGUCGGAAUCGCUAGUAAUCGUGGAUCAGAAUGCCACGGUGAAUACGUUCCCGGGCCUUGUACACACCGCCCGUCACACCAUGGGAGUGGGUUGCAAAAGAAGUAGGUAGCUUAACCUUCGGGAGGGCGCUUACCACUUUGUGAUUCAUGACUGGGGUGAAGUCGUAACAAGGUAACCGUAGGGGAACCUGCGGUUG
This 449-nucleotide ribosomal RNA is filed under the name Escherichia coli. RNAcentral's name for it is "bacterial SSU rRNA". It matches the Rfam family "Bacterial small subunit ribosomal RNA", at positions 1071 to 1520 of the family's 1533-position model. Lineage: Bacteria; Pseudomonadati; Pseudomonadota; Gammaproteobacteria; Enterobacterales; Enterobacteriaceae. The record is from RNAcentral.